This 418-nucleotide ribosomal RNA is filed under the name uncultured bacterium. RNAcentral's name for it is "bacterial SSU rRNA". It matches the Rfam family "Bacterial small subunit ribosomal RNA", at positions 361 to 776 of the family's 1533-position model. The record is from RNAcentral.
AUCUUCCGCAAUGGACGCAAGUCUGACGGAGCAACGCCGCGUGAGUGACGAAGGCCUUCGGGUCGUAAAACUCUGUUGUCAGGGAAGAACAACCGGGAUGACCUCCCGGUCUGACGGUACCUGAUCAGAAAGCCCCGGCUAACUACGUGCCAGCAGCCGCGGUAAUACGUAGGGGGCAAGCGUUGUCCGGAAUUAUUGGGCGUAAAGCGCGCGCAGGCGGUUUCUUAAGUCUGGUGUGAAAGCCCGCAGCUCAACUGCGGAGGGCCACUGGAAACUGGGAAACUUGAGUGUAGGAGAGGAGAGCGGAAUUCCACGUGUAGCGGUGAAAUGCGUAGAGAUGUGGAGGAACACCUGUGGCGAAAGCGGCUCUCUGGCCUAUAACUGACGCUGAGGCGCGAAAGCGUGGGGAGCAAACAGG